This 905-nucleotide ribosomal RNA is filed under the name uncultured Zetaproteobacteria bacterium. Its description in RNAcentral is "bacterial SSU rRNA". It matches the Rfam family "Bacterial small subunit ribosomal RNA", at positions 1 to 911 of the family's 1533-position model. The record is from RNAcentral. Lineage: Bacteria; Pseudomonadati; Pseudomonadota; Candidatius Mariprofundia.
CGACAUGCUCAUAACKRAMRACGCKGGCGGCGUGCCYAACACAUGCAAGUCGAACGGUAACAGGGACYUCGGUCCGCUGACGAGUGGCGCACGGGUGAGUAACGCGUGGGGUUACCUGCCCAUCAGUGGGGAACAACUKGGAGAAAUCCAAGCUAAUACCGCAUAAUACCUUCGGGUUAAAGAGGGGGAUCUUCGGACCUCUCGCUGAUGGAUGGUCCCGCGUCUGAUUAGCUAGUUGGUGGGGUAAAAGCCUACCAAGGCAAUGAUCAGUAGCUGGUCUGAGAGGAUGAUCAGUCACACUGGAACUGAGACACGGUCCAGACUCCUACGGGAGGCAGCAGUGGGGAAUAUUGCACAAUGGGCGAAAGCCUGAUGCAGCGACGCCGCGUGCGGGAAGAAGGCCUUCGGGUUGUAAACCGCUUUCAACAGGGAAGAAGGAAUGAGGGCCAAUACCCCUCUGCCUUGACGGUACCUGUAGAAGAAGCACCGGCUAAUUUCGUGCCAGCAGCCGCGGUAAUACGAAAGGUGCAAGCGUUGUUCGGAUUUACUGGGCGUAAAGAGAUCGUAGGUGGCUUGUUAAGUCGAAUGUGAAAUCCCGGGGCUCAACCCCGGAACUGCAUCCGAUACUGGCAGGCUUGAGUUCGGGAGGGGUAAGCGGAAUUCCGUGUGUAGCAGUGAAAUGCGUAGAUAUACGGAGGAACACCUUGAGGCGAAGGCGGCUUACUGGACCGAUACUGACACUGAGGAUCGAAAGCGUGGGUAGCAAACAGGAUUAGAUACCCUGGUAGUCCACGCCCUAAACGAUGUCAACUAGCCGUUGCGGGUAUCGACCCCUGCAGUGGCGCAGCUWACGCGAUAAGUUGACCGCYKGGGGAAGUACGGUCGCAAGAKAACUCAAUGAUACG